ACUUGAUGCUUCGUUUUUAGGUGCCCCCUACAUUUAAGGGGCGAAAGCAAAUUGAGAACCGCAGAGUGGUUGAGUUGGGUGGAAAGUCCGUUAAGAAGCACCGCACACCGUUAAGUGUUGCGAAGCUAGCUUUGAAGAAUCAGAAGAAACGAGAACAGAAGAAAAUGGAAGAGGAAAAACUCCUUGGGAUCUUUAGGAAGAGGGACAAGGACACCAAACCUCACAAGAAAAGGCCAGAGGACCGAGUGCUUAGGGCCACAGAAGGGCGCUUUAGGAACGGUAUACUGAACGUCAAGCAUCUUCUGGCGCCACCGAAACCAUCAGGCAAGGACAUGUCGGAACCGAAGAUGAGGAAGGACAAACACAAGGGGAAGGUUAAGCAGAAGGAAGAGACGUUGAAGAAAGCACACUUCUGUAACCAGGCUUGCUAUUAAGAAUUUUAGAUAGAUGAUUGAUGAAACGUUUAAAUGACACCUUUUUGUGGUCAUCCUGAAAUUAAGAUGUUUCCUUGCUCUACUGGAAUCUUUUAAGUGAUCCUUGAAACGAUGUAAUUCUCCAUGAUGCGGUUCAGGAAGAGAGAGGCUUAUUUGGUUCAGUUUUAUAUGCCCUUCGAUCACUGGGCUUGUACAAUAUGUUUUUGCUUAGUCACCAUGUGCUCGGAUUACAUAUUUGUAUUUGUAUUGUCAUCUUGGAUAUGAUCAAAGCUAGGGGUAUUUAUCGACG
This is a long non-coding RNA of Zea mays, 723 nucleotides long. RefSeq lists it as uncharacterized. The transcript is spliced from 3 exons. Lineage: Eukaryota; Viridiplantae; Streptophyta; Magnoliopsida; Poales; Poaceae. The record is from RefSeq and is a predicted model, not a curated record.